Molecule: ribosomal RNA, 506 nt
Filed under: uncultured bacterium
Lineage: Bacteria
Description: partial 16S ribosomal RNA
Rfam family: Bacterial small subunit ribosomal RNA
Source: RNAcentral
AUUGAACGCUGGCGGCAGGCCUAACACAUGCAAGUCGGACGGUAGCACAGAGGAGCUUGCUCCUCGGGUGACGAGUGGCGGACGGGUGAGUAAUGUCUGGGGAUCUGCCCGAUAGAGGGGGAUAACCACUGGAAACGGUGGCUAAUACCGCAUAACGCCGCAAGACCAAAGAGGGGGACCUUCGGGCCUCUCACUAUCGGAUGAACCCAGAUGGGAUUAGCUAGUAGGCGGGGUAACGGCCCACCUAGGCGACGUUCCCUAGCUGGUCUGAGAGAAUGGCAGACCGCACUGGAACUGAGAGUCGAUCCAGAAGCCUACGGGGGGCAGCAGUUGGGAGUCUUGCGCACUGGGCGCAAGCCUGAUGCACCCUUGCAGCGGGUAGGAAGAAGCCCUUCGGUUUGCAAAGUACUGUCAGCGGGGAGGAAGGCGAUGUGGUUAAUAACCGCGUCGAUUGACGUUACCCGCAGAAGAAGCACCGGCUAACUCCGUGCCAGCAGCCGCCGUAA